AUGCUCGCAUAUGCAGCGUAUAUGCUAAAAUUGGAAUAAAGAGAUUAGCAUGGCCCCUGUGCAAGGAUGACAUGCAAAUUUGUGAAGGGUUCCAUACUUAA
Molecule: small nuclear RNA, 101 nt
Organism: Oryctolagus cuniculus (rabbit)
Lineage: Eukaryota; Metazoa; Chordata; Mammalia; Lagomorpha; Leporidae
Source: Ensembl